RNAcentral lists this ribosomal RNA (589 nucleotides) under uncultured Gallionellaceae bacterium. Its description in RNAcentral is "partial 16S ribosomal RNA". It matches the Rfam family "Bacterial small subunit ribosomal RNA", at positions 335 to 916 of the family's 1533-position model. Lineage: Bacteria; Pseudomonadati; Pseudomonadota; Betaproteobacteria; Nitrosomonadales; Gallionellaceae. The record is from RNAcentral.
ACUCCUACGGGAGGCAGCAGUGGKGAAUUUUGGWAARGRRGGCAACCCUGAUCCAGCCMUGCCGCGUGAGUGAAGAAGGCCUUCSGGUUGUAAAGCUCUUUCAGCCGGAAAGAAAUCKUGCAACCUAAUACGUUGUAUGGAUGACGGUACCGGAAGAAGAMGCACCGGCUAACUACGUGCCAGCAGCCGCGGUAAUACSUASGGYGCGAGCGUUAAUCGGAAUCACUGGGCGUAAAGCGUGCSCAGGCSGUUUUGUAASACAGGUGWGAAAUCCCCGGGCUUAACCUGGGAACUGCWUUUGUGACUGCAAGGCUGGAGUAUGGCAGAGGGGGGUAGGAUUCCACGUGUAGCARUGAAAUGCSUAGAUAUGUGGAGGAAUACCGAUGGSGAAGGCAGCCCCCUGGGUCAAUACUGACGCUCAUGCACRAAAGCGUGGGGAGCAAACAGGAUUAGAUACCCUGGUAGUCCACGCCCUAAACGAUGUCAACUAGGUGUUGGGGGAGGAGACUUCCUUAGUACCGCAGCUAACGCGUGAAGUUGACCGCCUGGGGAGUACGGCCGCAAGGUUGAAACUUAAAUGAAUUGACGG